AGAGUUUGAUCAUGGCUCAGAACGAACGCUGGCGGCGCGCCUAAUACAUGCAAGUCGAGCGAGAAGACGUAGCAAUACGUUUGUAAAGCGGCGAACGGGUGGGGAAUACAUGGGUAACCUACCCUCGAGUGGGGAAUAACUAGCCGAAAGGUUAGCUAAUACCGCAUACGACUCCUGGUCUGCGGAUCGGGAGAGAAAGCGAUACCGUGGGUAUCGCGCUCUUGGAUGGGCUCAUGUCCUAUCAGCUUGUUGGUGAGGUAACGGCUCACCAAGGCUUCGACGGGUAGCUGGUCUGAGAGGACGAUCAGCCACACUGGCACUGCGACACGGGCCAGACUCCUACGGGAGGCAGCAGUAAGGAAUAUUGCGCAAUGGGCGACAGCCUGACGCAGCGACGCCGCGUGGGGGAUGAAGGUCUUCGGAUUGUAAACCCCUUUCGGCAGGGAAGAUGGAACGGGUAACCGUUCGGACGGUACCUGCAGAAGCAGCCACGGCUAACUUCGUGCCAGCAGCCGCGGUAAUACGAAGGUGGCAAGCGUUGUUCGGAUUUACUGGGCGUACAGGGAGCGUAGGCGGUUGGGUAAGCCCUCCGUGAAAUCUCCGGGCCUAACCCGGAAAGUGCGGAGGGGACUGCUCGGCUAGAGGAUGGGAGAGGAGCGCGGAAUUCCCGGUGUAGCGGUGAAAUGCGUAGAGAUCGGGAGGAAGGCCGGUGGCGAAGGCGGCGCUCUGGAACAUUUCUGACGCUGAGGCUCGAAAGCGUGGGGAGCAAACAGGAUUAGAUACCCUGGUAGUCCACGCCU
RNAcentral lists this ribosomal RNA (800 nucleotides) under uncultured bacterium. Its description in RNAcentral is "bacterial SSU rRNA". It matches the Rfam family "Bacterial small subunit ribosomal RNA", at positions 8 to 802 of the family's 1533-position model. The record is from RNAcentral.